RNAcentral lists this ribosomal RNA (221 nucleotides) under uncultured bacterium. RNAcentral describes it as "partial 16S ribosomal RNA". It matches the Rfam family "Bacterial small subunit ribosomal RNA", at positions 129 to 334 of the family's 1533-position model. The record is from RNAcentral.
CCCUUCAGAGGGGGACAACAGUUGGAAACGACUGCUAAUACCGCAUACGAUCUGACCUCGGCAUCGAGGAUAGAUGAAAGGUGGCCUCUAUCUAUAAGCUAUCACUGAAGGAGGGGAUUGCGUCUGAUUAGCUAGUUGGAGGGGUAACGGCCCACCAAGGCGAUGAUCAGUAGCCGGUCUGAGAGGAUGAACGGCCACAUUGGGACUGAGACACGGCCCAG